GGGACGCGUGGGACGCUGGGGUCGCGGCGAGCUCCUGUUUCACCCGGAGGACCUCGCCGAGACGCUGUUCGUGUUGCUGCGCGGCUCG
Molecule: transfer RNA, 88 nt
Filed under: Deinococcus radiotolerans
Lineage: Bacteria; Thermotogati; Deinococcota; Deinococci; Deinococcales; Deinococcaceae
Description: tRNA-Arg
Source: RNAcentral